ACACAUGCAAGUCGAGCGAUGACGCUCCCUUCGGGGGGUACAUAGCGGCGAACGGGUGAGUAACACGUUGGUGACCUUCCCCACAGACGGGGAUAACGCUUGGAAACAGGUGCUAAUACCCGAUGUGCUCAGCAGUUCACUCUGUUGAGUAAAGCUAUGGCGCUUUGGGAUGGGCCCGCGGCCCAUCAGCUAGUUGGUAGGGUAAAGGCCUACGCAUGCUAAGACGGGUAGGGGGCGUGAGAGCGCGAUCCCCCACACUGGCACUGAGACACGGGCCAGACUCCUACUGGGAGGCAGCAGUGAGGAAUAUUGCGCAAUGGACGAAAGUCUGACGCAGUGACUGCCGCGUGGGCGAUGAAGAGCCUUCGGGUCGUAAAGCGCCUUUUCUGGGGGAAGAGAAAGGACGGUACCCCAGGAAUAAGCCCCGGCUAACGUACGUGCCAGCAGCCGCGGUAAAACGUAUGGGGCAAGCGUAAUCCGGAUUUACUGGGCGUAAAGAUGCGUUGAUGCGGUUUUGUAAGUUGGGCGUGAAAGCCCUGGGCUUAACUCAGGGAAGCCGUUCAAUACUGCGAAACUUGAGGGCAGCGAGAGGGAGGUGGAAUUCCCGGACGUAGCGGUGAAAGUGCGUAGAUAUCGGGAGGAACACCAGUGGCGAAGCCGGCCUCCUGGGAUGCUCGAGACGCUGAAGGCGAAAGCUAGGGGAGCAGAACGGGAUUAGAAACCCCGGUAGUCCUAGCAGUUGACCGAUGGAUGAUAGGUAUGGGGAUUCUAGAUUCCCUCCAGUGCCAGCAGUUAACGCGCUUAAGCAUCCCGCCUUGGGGAGUACAGGCCGCAAGGCUAAAACUCAGACGAAUUGACGGGGGCCCGCACAAGCAUCGGAGCCUAUGGUUUAAUUCGAUGCUACCCGAAGAACCUUACCUGGGCUUGACAUACAGGUAGUAGUGAACUGGAAGCGGAUCGAUCAGUUCGGGGAGCCUGUACAGGUGCUGCAUGGCUGUCGUCAGCUCUUGCCGUGAGUUGUCGGGUUUAGUCCCGUGACGAGCGCAACCCUUGCUAUUAGUUAUACGUGUAUAAGAGGCAUGCCGGCGGUAAGCCGGAGGAAGGUGGGGAUGAAGUCAAGUCAGCAUGGCACAUUAUGUCCAGCGCUACACACACGCUACACAUGGCCGGUACAAUGGGUAGCUAAACCGGCGAGGUGGAGCCAAUCCUGUGAACCCAGGUCUCAGUUCGAAUUGCAGGCUGCAACUGGCCUGCAUGAAGUCGGAGUUGCUAGUAAUCGCAGGUCAGCAA
RNAcentral lists this ribosomal RNA (1290 nucleotides) under uncultured organism. RNAcentral describes it as "bacterial SSU rRNA". It matches the Rfam family "Bacterial small subunit ribosomal RNA", at positions 51 to 1355 of the family's 1533-position model. The record is from RNAcentral.